CUCCUUCUGCAAUUUUUAUACAAGUUGUGUGCUCCCAAGGUGACUACUUUUGCGGAUGUAUUAGCAGGGUAGCAUAUGCUGACUACUUUUUUUCUAGUAUUGGGGGCAAGGACAAAAUUAUAUAAGUUAAUAAACUCAAGGGGAAGAUUAAUGAGAGUUAAACUUAGUGGACAAAACAAAACAGUUUUAUUCUAAUUCUACAAAAUACAGACCAGUCAAGAGCAUCAUACUUUCAACUCGUUCCUGUGUUUGGCUGAAAGUUUGAAACAAAUGCUCUUUCCACUCACUCAUUCCAGUUCCAUUUAUUACCUUGAUUUCUCUUCUUCUUUAAAAUCUUCUUCAUCCGAAACCAUGAAGUAGGCGAAGAAGACCCGUGACCGCCAAUUAUCCCACCAACACUUGCCAUUCUCUUUCCAAAUAUCUCCAAAAUCUAUUAUGAUCUACUAUAAUUUAUACCAGAAAUGAAGAUGUGUCAACUUUCAAAGGAAAUGUAUGGUUGUUACGGCAAAUUUAAUACUGAAUUUUAAAAAAUAGGGUUGUUCUGAAAAUAAAAAUACAGAUUGAUAUAUGGAGAGAGAGAAAGUAAAGGCUAGUCCUUAUCUG
This 603-nucleotide long non-coding RNA is filed under the name Panax ginseng (ginseng). RNAcentral describes it as "long non-coding RNA (PGIN_LNC002531)". Lineage: Eukaryota; Viridiplantae; Streptophyta; Magnoliopsida; Apiales; Araliaceae. The record is from RNAcentral.